UGGGGAAUAUUGGACAAUGGGGGCAACCCUGAUCCAGCCAUGCCGCGUGUGUGAAGAAGGCCUUUUGGUUGUAAAGCACUUUAAGCAGGGAGGAGAGGCUAAUGGUUAAUACCCAUUAGAUUAGACGUUACCUGCAGAAUAAGCACCGGCUAACUCUGUGCCAGCAGCCGCGGUAAUACAGGGGGUGCGAGCGUUAAUCGGAAUUACUGGGCGUAAAGCGAGUGUAGGUGGCUCAUUAAGUCACAUGUGAAAUCCCCGGGCUUAACCUGGGAACUGCAUGUGAUACUGGUGGUGCUAGAAUAUGUGAGAGGGAAGUAGAAUUCCAGGUGUAGCGGUGAAAUGCGUAGAGAUCUGGAGGAAUACCGAUGGCGAAGGCAGCUUCCUGGCAUAAUAUUGACACUGAGAUUCGAAAGCGUGGGUAGCAAACAGGAUUAGAUACCCUGGUAGUCCACGCCGUAAAACGAUGUCUACUAGCCGUUGGGGUCCUUGAGACUUUAGUGGCGCAGUUAACGCGAUAAGUAGACCGCCUGGGGAGU
This 536-nucleotide ribosomal RNA is filed under the name uncultured bacterium. RNAcentral's name for it is "partial 16S ribosomal RNA". It matches the Rfam family "Bacterial small subunit ribosomal RNA", at positions 355 to 881 of the family's 1533-position model. The record is from RNAcentral.